UCAGAACGAGCGCUGCGGCAGGCUAACACAUGCAAGUUGAGCGGGAUUCAUUAUAGCUUGCUAUGGAUGAUGAGAGCAGCGCACUGGUGAGUAACACGUGGGAACAUGCCUUUGUGGGGGACAACAGUUGGAAACGACUGCUAAUACCGCAUACGCCCUGAGGGGAAAGAUUAAUUGCCGAAAGAUUGGCCCGCGGAAGAUUAGGUAGUAGGUGGGGUAACGGCCUACCUAGCCGACGAUCUAUAGCUGGUCUGAGAGGACGAUCAGCCACAUUGGAACUGAGACACGGUCCAGACUCCUACGGGAGGCAGCAGUGAGGAAUAUUGGGCAAUGGAGGGAACUCUGACCCAGCCAUGCCCGCGUGAGUGAAGAAGGUUUUCGGAUUGUAAAGCUCUUUCAGAUGGGAAGAUGAUGACGGUACCAUCAGAAGAAGCACCGGCUAACUUCGUGCCAGCAGCAGC
This 461-nucleotide ribosomal RNA is filed under the name uncultured bacterium. RNAcentral's name for it is "bacterial SSU rRNA". It matches the Rfam family "Bacterial small subunit ribosomal RNA", at positions 24 to 518 of the family's 1533-position model. The record is from RNAcentral.